RNAcentral lists this long non-coding RNA (248 nucleotides) under Elaeis guineensis (African oil palm). RNAcentral describes it as "long non-coding RNA (EGUI_LNC007005)". Lineage: Eukaryota; Viridiplantae; Streptophyta; Magnoliopsida; Arecales; Arecaceae. The record is from RNAcentral.
AUGGAGGUUUGAUUUGGCCACGAGUGCCACGUCAGAAUACAGGCCGCCAUGGUGCACUGCAUGAGAAGCGCGACCAUGUAACAACCAUGGGCAUUAGCUGGGUAUUGAAAACAAACGCAAGAUUCAGCAUUUUUUUUCCCCAGAGUUAGAAAAGAAUUCACAUAGCAAAUGUCAAAAAAUAAAUAGCAAAUGUAAUAGUUUUCUCAAACAUUCAUUAUAUAUUUACAUAAAAAUAUCUGAUCUCCACU